Long non-coding RNA from Girardinichthys multiradiatus, 2285 nucleotides. RefSeq lists it as uncharacterized. The record is from RefSeq and is a predicted model, not a curated record. The transcript is spliced from 3 exons. NCBI's taxonomy places the organism in Eukaryota, Metazoa, Chordata, Actinopteri, Cyprinodontiformes, Goodeidae.
UGCUUCUCGCCAGAGGAGAGCUCUGCAUGACCGACUAUCGCAUGACAGUCACUCACGGUGUCACCUAGUGGCGACGUGUGGAAUUGAGCGGCAGCCUUGUUGGUGGCAUGUAGCAAUGCCUGGUUCCCGCUCGGUCGCUACACAGGCCGAGCGGUGCUGACCUGCGAGGGCCUACAAUGCUGCUUGCAGCUUUAAUUAUAUAUGUUUCUGCAGAUGCAGAGGCAAUCUUCUAGGGCAUUAUUUUGUAUUCUCUCCACCCAUCUUUCUCUGCCUUUUGUUAUUUUCUACUUUUCCCCCUUUUUCCUUUUUGCCUGACCUCUCUCUCUUUGUUGUUUCUUUUUUUUUCCUUUUCAAGCGGAGCAUUAUAGGAUUAGCCAUAAUGCUUUACUUGUGAAAGUAAAUCUGUUGGGCUUCUUCUUGGCACUCAAACAGCAGUUGCAGUGCUACUCUGCUGGACAGGACAUGUAAUGAAAACAAAAAAAAGAAAUGAGGGUGCGUUUGUGUGUGUGACUAGACGUAUGGUUGAAAUAUUAACAUGAGAUGUUUAAAAGUCUUAUUGCUGUUGGGGUGAAGGUUCUCCUGAGCCAACUGUUGCGAGCACUGGUUUGACUCUCCAGGAUGCAAUGGAAAGGGUUCAGAAUGACAUAAUACCACAAAUCUGAGAAGGUCCAGCCUCAUCCCAGCAUUGAGCUGGCCUAUUGGCCGCAUGAACCAGGAAUGAAAAAAAAUUUUCUUCCACAUAAUAUAAACUACACAGCAAACUGUUGUGAACCCAGCCAUGAAUAAAAAAAAAACGUGUAGCAGGAUGAAUUAAGCCUGCUCUCAAUGAUUGAGGACACCUGGAUUGUUUCCAAUUAGCUGCCAACAGGGGUGCUGUAAGGAGGCUUUUUUUCACCUGGCUCUCGUUUAAUCCACCUUAUCUGUGAAUUUAGAAAGAACUGCUUGGUGGGUUGUAGUACUAACUUCUCCUUCCCCUGGUGAUUAUAGCAUGUAAGACAGGGUUUGUAUUGUGCUCAUUAUCAAGAUUUCUGUAUGAAAUCACUGGCAAGUUGAUCCUCCUGUUGCUGUUUGGCCAGAAAGCGCUCACUGGUUCAGGUGGAGUAAUUCAGAGGGCCUGGCAGGUGGUGAGCUGAAAGUGGUGAAGGGCUUUCAGGGGGACUGGUCUUUUGUGCUGUGCAAAUGUUUAGGAACCAGUCUUCCCAGUUCGGACAGCCCUCCCCUGCUGGUAGGCCUCAGUCUGGCAAAUUUCCCCUCUCCUUUCCAGUGUGGUUGGAUUUGGUUUUAAAUGUCUUUUAAAGAGAACUAGAAACAAAUGCAAUUCUUUUGUGGAACCACGUCUCUCUCAUUGGUGUACAAACCAGAGUGCCUUACUGGUGCUGUAACUGUCUCCUUGGGUGCAAUUCCCAAGGUGGUAUUGUUGACCCUGAUCAUAGUGGGGCAAGUGAAUUUAAAGGGCUAGUUUAUAUGGCUAGUUAUUUGUUCUGUUGUGUUUUGUAGUUGAUAUAAACUUGUUUUAAUGAGUGUUUUAAACACAGAUCAGCCAAUGCUCAUAUGCAUCUUAAUCUUUGUAUUAAUGGUAUUUCAAGUACAUGUGAACUAAGCAGGGUUGGUAAAUAAGUUACUUUCCUUUGUUAACCAAAACUGCUAAUGAUGGCAUAAAGUAAAAUGUUCAUAUAUGACUGGUCGCCAUCAUAUAAGAGACAGACAUUUCUCUCCAUUUUAGUAGUCUAUUAUUCCAUGUGUUGCAUAGUUAAAACAAAAGGUUGAUUUCUAAUUUAGCAAAUAGUUUCAAAUAUUUAAUUAAAAUAUUUUAUCGGCUCUUCUGAUUUUGCAUUGUGGACAGUUGUUUGAAGACAUGCCAAUUACUGUUAAGUUCUAAGACAAAUGUGACUAAUUUAUUUGAGAACUAACUUGUAAAACUGAUUUGUUGUCAUUUCUAAAUUCCUCAAGAUAAACUUUGGUUCUCAAACAUAGAUAACAUUGAAUGGUAAUUUUGCAUUAUUGGUUAUGGUUUUUAACCCUUUUUUCUUUAUUUGUUUAUUUUUCAUGAGUUUUCUAUUCACUAGUACCUGUGCUCAACUCAUUCUUUCAUCUAUUGUCCUGGAAAUACCACCUCCAUAUUGGGGUGGUAUUUCCAGGACAAUAAUUGACUGAUCAAGGCAUCAUGAUGGAACAACAAAACAAAUGUAACCUUACUUUAAAUAUGUACUUUACUUUUUUGAGGGGGAUUGUAGCCUCUCUCAGAGCCUUUAGCUGAUGCAGAACCUUUAUCAGCUGCGACCAAA